RNAcentral lists this long non-coding RNA (211 nucleotides) under Elaeis guineensis (African oil palm). RNAcentral's name for it is "long non-coding RNA (EGUI_LNC029604)". The record is from RNAcentral. Lineage: Eukaryota; Viridiplantae; Streptophyta; Magnoliopsida; Arecales; Arecaceae.
GCCGAGGGUGGCGGGGAGGCCUCUUCCCGGCGGGAAGAGCGUCUCGCCGACCCGGUGACCCUCGAUCUUUGGGCUCUUGUCUUUGUCAUUAAUAUCUUCUGCUUGGGGAGGCUUGGUGCCGUGUCGCUGCCCCCCUUCCUGGUGCGCCAAUCUGUUGCGGCCAAUCCCCUCGUCGUCUGAUCGUCGGGAGACGAGCGCCUGCAAAAAAGGA